CAAAUUUAAAAUCUGGCAGUGUUUGGCUGUCCGAAUUGUAGCCUAGAGAAGUGUUGCCGAUGCUGGACCAUGUACAAGUCUCCUGGAAGGGAGCGUCGCAGAGGGUGAGAAUCCCGUAUUUGACAUGGACUACCAGUGUAUUGUGGUAUGCUCUCAAAGAGUUGAGUUGUUUGGGAAUGCAGCUCUAAAUGGGUGGUAAACUCCAUCUAAAGCUAAAUAUUGGCGAGAGACCGAUAGCGAACAAGUACCGUGAGGGAAAGAUGAAAAGAACUUUGGAAAGAGAGUUAAACAGUAUGUGAAAUUGUUGAAAGGGAAACGUUUGAAGUCAGUCAGGUUGGUCAGGGAUCAAUUUAGCAGAUAUUUGCUGAAUGUAUUUCUUGGCACAACGGGUCAACAUGAGUCUUGACUACUGGAGAAAGGCAGAGGGAAUGUGGCAUCCUCUUGGGUGUGUUAUAGCCCGUCGGUCAUAUACAGUGGUUGGGAUUGAGGAAAGCAGCUUGCCGCAAGGCCGAGUCAUUUUGUAUGGCUACGUUCAUGCUUAGGAUGUUGGCAAAUAAUGGCUUUAAGCGACCCGUCUUGAAACACGGACCAAGGAGUCUAACAUGCCUGCGAGUGUUUGAGUGGAAAACUCGAGCGCGCAAUGAAAGUGAAAGUUGAGAUCCCGACUAUGUUGGGGAGCAUCGAUGCCCAGACCAGAACUUUUGGGACGGAUCUGCGGUGGAGCAAGCAUGUUGGGACCCGAAAGAUGGUGAACUAUGCCUGAAUAGGGCGAAGCCAGAGGAAACUCUGGUGGAGGCUCGUAGCGAUUCUGACGUGCAAAUC
This 822-nucleotide ribosomal RNA is filed under the name Amanita timida. Its description in RNAcentral is "eukaryotic LSU rRNA". It matches the Rfam family "Eukaryotic large subunit ribosomal RNA", at positions 110 to 899 of the family's 3401-position model. Lineage: Eukaryota; Fungi; Basidiomycota; Agaricomycetes; Agaricales; Amanitaceae. The record is from RNAcentral.